AUGAUGAUCGCUUGCUUCGUGACUCUCUGCUACGAACGAAGAAGGAAAGAAAAACCUUCAGAAACCAGACAAGACACAUCUGGACUCAUUCUGACUCAAACAGCCGUUUCUCUGGAUAAUGACAGUGAGUCUGUUUACACCAAUAAAGGCAUGCUGUCAUCCACCGCACCGAGUGCACCUGAAUCUCUUCAUUAUUCCUCCAUUUACUUCACAAACGCUGACCCGCCGUCAGGAGAGAUCAUGGGCCUGUCCUCGCUGACCAGUGAAUACGCUGCGGUCCGACACUGUCCUGCAGGAGACACAGACACAGAGAACAACACCUCAACAUCUGAGACAGAGCCCAAAAAACCAGACAUGACAGCAAAGAUCACAGACACGUCCUCACCGGCAUCAGAAGACGUGAUUUAUGAAAACACGAGCCAUCGCUACAGACAGAAGGAAGCACUGGUCAGCGCAGAUGAUGCUGAAAAACCAGACUGAACCAAAACCUUUGAAUCUUUGAGCAACAAUUUAAGAGAUCCUUCAUCUAAAAAUAACAAUUACAAACCUACAGAACUUUCUUUCAUCUGUGGAACAUAAAGGAAGAUAUUUUAAGUGUUUAUUCCUCAUCGUUUUAACAGGAAAUCGAUAGAUCGCCCUAAAAGGAAAAUUUACUGUUAAUGUACUCACCCUCAGGACGUAAACGAUGAAAAUUACUUUAUUCUUCAGUAGAAUAGUAAAGAAUUUUCUUGGCAAUUCAUAAAAUGCAAAUCAGCAUCUACAGUCACUCUGAAAGGCAAAAAAAAAGCAAAAAAGUUAUUAUGAAGCAAAACGAUCUGAAGAAGCUGAACAUUAUUUACAACAGUAUCACCUGUAAUCCAGUCCUGCAUGGUUUAUUUUUUAAUAUGUAUUUUACUAUACACCUAUCACUUUUAUUUCCUGAAAAAGGAAUAGCCUACAAUCUCUAAUAAUAAUAAUAAUAAUAAUAAUAAUAAUAAUAAUAAUAAUAAUAAUUGAAUAAGUCUAUUUAAAUGAUACACCAAGAUAAAAACUAAACUGAAACUAAUAUAAAAGCAGGCGUGAGGAACUCUCAGUCUGAUGUGGUGUGGAAGAAAAGUGUUUUAUUUAAUUGUUUGAUUAAAUGACUUACAGAUUGUGUUGCUUCCAAUUCCACUCCCAGAGUCAUCAGACUUCCUUCGAAAAACUCUCUGUGUCUAUAAUAGACAACACAUGGGGGGGCGAGGGGGGUGGUUUAGGGAAAAAAAUGGACAGAUUUUGAGCUUUGUGAAUAACAUUGUAACUAUAGUUCUGUAUAGUUUAGGGUGACCAUAUCA
RNAcentral lists this long non-coding RNA (1313 nucleotides) under Carassius auratus (goldfish). Its description in RNAcentral is "lncRNA (ENSCARG00000036428.1)". Lineage: Eukaryota; Metazoa; Chordata; Actinopteri; Cypriniformes; Cyprinidae. The record is from RNAcentral.